This 468-nucleotide ribosomal RNA is filed under the name uncultured bacterium. Its description in RNAcentral is "partial 16S ribosomal RNA". It matches the Rfam family "Bacterial small subunit ribosomal RNA", at positions 28 to 507 of the family's 1533-position model. The record is from RNAcentral.
GACGAACGCUGGCGGCGUGCUUAACACAUGCAGGUCGAACGGAAAGGCCCUGCUUUUGUGGGGUGCUCGAGUGGCGAACGGGUGAGUAACACGUGAGUAACCUGCCCUUGACUUUGGGAUAACUUCAGGAAACUGGGGCUAAUACCGGAUAGGAGCUCCUGCUGCAUGGUGGGGGUUGGAAAGUUUCGGCGGUUGGGGAUGGACUCGCGGCUUAUCAGCUUGUUGGUGGGGUAGUGGCUUACCAAGGCUUUGACGGGUAGCCGGCCCGAGAGGGUGACCGGCAACAUUGGGACUGAGAUACGGCCCAGACUCCUACGGGAGGCAGCAGUGGGGAAUAUUGCACAAUGGGCGGAAGCCUGAUGCAGCAACGCCGCGUGCGGGAUGACGGCCUUCGGGUUGUAAACCGCUUUCGCCUGUGACGAAGCGUGAGUGACGGUAAUGGGUAAAGAAGCACCGGCUAACUACGUG